RNAcentral lists this transfer RNA (77 nucleotides) under candidate division CPR3 bacterium. RNAcentral describes it as "tRNA-Glu". It matches the Rfam family "tRNA". From Rfam's summary of the family: Transfer RNA (tRNA) molecules are approximately 80 nucleotides in length. Their secondary structure includes four short double-helical elements and three loops (D, anti-codon, and T loops). The record is from RNAcentral. Lineage: Bacteria; candidate division CPR3.
GGCCUCGUCGUCUAGUGGUCCAGGACAUCGCCUUCUCAGGGCGAAGAUCGCGGGUUCGAAUCCCGCCGAGGCUGCCA